UCUCCCUCUGCCAAAACAACGGACCCACAACUACCCCCUACUCCCUCAUCUUCCUCCUCCCAAAAACCAGCCACCGUCUUCCCAUCUCUACCCCACAGACCCAGCUUUCCCUCCUUCAACCGACCUCCAGCAGCUGCAUACACACAGUGGCGCCCGCGGAAGCAGCCCCAUCGCCAGCCUUCACAGAUUGCCCCCUUUUCACAUCCUUCAGCUCACGGACCCCCGUCUCCUCCCACACUAGCAGCCCAAGCACA
Molecule: long non-coding RNA, 254 nt
Filed under: Populus tremula
Lineage: Eukaryota; Viridiplantae; Streptophyta; Magnoliopsida; Malpighiales; Salicaceae
Description: long non-coding RNA (PTRE_LNC002970)
Source: RNAcentral